GGAGAGCUGGCUCAGUGGUUAAGAGCACUGACUGCUCUUCCAGAGGUCCUGAGUUCAAUUCCCAGCAUCCACA
Molecule: transfer RNA, 73 nt
Filed under: Mus musculus (house mouse)
Lineage: Eukaryota; Metazoa; Chordata; Mammalia; Rodentia; Muridae
Description: tRNA-Ser
Source: RNAcentral